This is an RNA transcript of Sinocyclocheilus grahami, 858 nucleotides long. It is a transcript of the gene named yrdC domain-containing protein, mitochondrial-like, with no coding region annotated. Lineage: Eukaryota; Metazoa; Chordata; Actinopteri; Cypriniformes; Cyprinidae. The record is from RefSeq and is a predicted model, not a curated record. The transcript has 3 exons.
UCGGCAUGCUAUGCCGCUUAGGAGCGCCAGCGUGAGUAACGAGCUGAAGACGAGAGUCCUGCGGCUAUCCGCGCAGAGCCCCGGGGAGCAGCAGGAGUGGACGGAGAUCCUGAGCGCCGCAGUCAAGGCUCUGAAAGCGGGGCAGGUCGUGGCCGUUCCCACUGACACCAUCUACGGUCUGGCCUGUGUGGCGUCAGGAGAGUUUAUGAUCUCAAAGGAAGGAAUGGAGACAAUCCUCUAGCCAUCUGUGUUGGAGAAGUACAGGACAUUACAGGGGGAAUUACAGCGACAGGCUGUCACUUUCAUUUGAGAAGACUAUGGAGUUUUGAGGCAUUCGGCUUGGGAGAAAACAUCAUUUGGACAAACAGCAAUAUCCAGAAGGAAGAAAUAGAAGGCCUUGUGUUACCCUUUAAAUUGUUAACUAGAAAACACAUUGUGAUUAUUUUGAAAUAUUUGAGACAAUCUAAGCAGCUCUUAUAAAAGGUGAAAAGUCCUCCGCCUCACUGGAUGGGCGGUUCAAGGGACUCCUUGACGAGCAACCUGAAGGAGCAAUGGCAGAUGCUGACUCAAUUCAAGAAGCUCUGGAAGAUAUGGAGGAUAGAUGCUACAAAACAAGAGACAGUCUCAAACAAGCUGUCCACAUGACAAGAGAAGAUUUCACACAAGCUGUAGACGAAUUGCAGCAGGAGCUGGAUGAAAUGAUGAGCAAACAUGAACCAAAACAACCACACCCAAGCCCACAUGAUUAUGUCCAGCAGAAACAAUACAAGCAAGUAGCUGGGACACUGGUCAUGCAUGACACAGAAGAUCCAGAAGACCAGUUUCAAGUUCUUCAAGCACAAAGACGAGGAGGAGGAG